This 253-nucleotide ribosomal RNA is filed under the name uncultured bacterium. RNAcentral's name for it is "partial 16S ribosomal RNA". It matches the Rfam family "Bacterial small subunit ribosomal RNA", at positions 524 to 776 of the family's 1533-position model. The record is from RNAcentral.
UACGUAGGGGGCAAGCGUUGUCCGGAAUGACUGGGCGUAAAGGGAGUGUAGGUGGCAUAGCAAGUUAUAUGUGAAAGCCCGCAGCUUAACUGCGGAACUGCAUAUAAAACUGUUAAGCUUGAGUGCAGGAGAGGUAAGCGGAAUUCCUAGUGUAGCGGUGGAAUGCGUAGAUAUUAGGAAGAACACCAGAGGCGAAGGCGGCUUACUGGACUGUAACUGACACUGAGGCUCGAAAGCGUGGGGAGCAAACAGG